GCACGACGAGUGCGUCGCAUGCGCAAAGUGGGGAAGUGCGUCAUCAAUUGGUGGUAGAAGAAUGGUGUGUUCCCUAGCAACCAAUCAAAAGACGUAGAUACAAAGCGGUAAACUUGAAAUUUAAAUUGAAGAAAACUCAGCGAAUUUUAUCUGUGUUUUGGAAUUCGUUGGGAAUUCACGUUUUAAAUGUUAUUAUUGUUAUUUUUUACGUGUUAGUGAAUUGGUCACAUGUCAAAACUCACAUAACCUCUAAUUUAUAAACUUUGGUAAUCAAUGGAAAAGUAGAAAAAUCGUAUGAUUUUGCGCAGUUGCCACAAUUCUCUUCAUUCAACGAAUAUUCUACACUUCAGCUACUGAUUUUUUGAGUGCAAAAAAUGAUUCUCACGUUGUAGUCACUGGUGCAAAGUGCAUGCAUGUCAGACAGAUCGGCGGAUAUGCGAAAUAAAUCGCCAACGGAGAGAAACGCAUCGAUUAAUUGCAAUUAAUACUCUGGUUAUCAACCGAAUGCGCCGCGCCGCCACAGUUCAACGGUUAAUUAAGUUAUUUCACUAAUUAUCGGCGUGUUUUUUCAAGAUGCGCGUUUGUUUCAUGUUGCGCCCGUUCGGACCAUGUUUACUAUAUGAUUUUACUACAUGAGUCAUGUUCAAAUAAUCUUUUGUUAAGGUUUAAACCAAAUUCACACAAAAAUUCGAUGUAAAACAAGUAAAACUUGUUAAAUUAAGUGUUAAUUAUCAUUAAUAUCAAAUAAUUCUUUAGCAAUUACUAAUUUUAGACAAGUUUUGGUUUAUUUCUAUCAAAGUUUAGAAAUAGAAUUAGAAAUUCGUCAUUUAUUGUUGAUCCGUCCGAAUUCCAGACGGACAUAAAUCAAAACUUCAAUAAUUGCUGCUAAUUUUAUUACUUAUUACCAAAAUAACUAAUUGACAAUGAGAAAUGAUAGUUAUUUAUGUCUAUUUACUCUAAAAACACAAAAAACAAUAAUGUUUCAUCAAAAAACUUAAAAAAAUCAAAAUUUUUCUAAAAAUAACAAAUUUACAUAUCAAAAUCACUCUGAUUACAUGCACUGAAUUUAUUUAAUUUUAUUUAUUUCACUUAUCAACAUCCGAUUUCGUUAGUUUCCACUAGCUCCAUAAUCAGCACAAUACACAACGCAAAUUGCUCUUGAAAAAAUCAAUCAUGCAUGCGGGGCUGAUAACACCAACGAAAGUUGCCAAUAACGUCACAGCAAUAUUAAACAAUCGUCGUUUCUACAUCUGCCGGCCUUAACCAAGCAUAUUUAUUGUAUAAUAAUAAACAUUUUUAAACAUGAACAGCGUCGUUGCCUAAAUUUUAUUGCUCGGGUCACUGAAUGUUAAUACAAAGCAGAAAGAUACAUGGAAAAAUAGUGUGGCUUAUCGAAAAAGGUUGGCAUAUUGUGCGCGAACGCAAAUCAUAAUAAUAAUUAUAAUAAAUGUAAAUAUUUAUAUGGAAUAUUCGGUUUAACGCAUCUU
Dalotia coriaria is the source of this 1487-nucleotide long non-coding RNA. RefSeq lists it as uncharacterized. Lineage: Eukaryota; Metazoa; Arthropoda; Insecta; Coleoptera; Staphylinidae. The record is from RefSeq and is a predicted model, not a curated record. The transcript has 3 exons.